UUUCCGUAGGUGAACCUGCGGAAGGAUCAUUAAAGAGAAUAUGCCCUUCGGGGUAGAUCUCCACCCUUUGUUUAUAUUACCUUUGUUGCUUUGGCAGGCCCGUCUUCGGACCACCGGCUUCGGCUGGUCAGUGCUUGCCAGAGGACCCAAAACUCUUAUUAUUAAUGUCGUCUGAGUACUAUAUAAUAGUUAAAACUUUCAACAACGGAUCUCUUGGUUCUGACAUCGAUGAAGACGCAGC
Molecule: unclassified non-coding RNA, 241 nt
Filed under: plant metagenome
Description: partial contains small subunit ribosomal RNA, internal transcribed spacer 1, and 5.8S ribosomal RNA
Source: RNAcentral